CCUACGGGCGGCAGCAGUGAGGAAUAUUGGUCAAUGGACGAGAGUCUGAACCAGCCAAGUAGCGUGAAGGAUGACUGCCCUAUGGGUUGUAAACUUCUUUUAUAUGGGAAUAAAACGUUCCACGUGUGGGAUUUUGUAUGUACCAUAUGAAUAAGGAUCGGCUAACUCCGUGCCAGCAGCCGCGGUAAUACGGAGGAUCCGAGCGUUAUCCGGAUUUAUUGGGUUUAAAGGGAGCGUAGGUUGAUUGUUAAGUCAGUUGUGAAAGUUUGCGGCUCAACCGUAACAUUGCAGUUGAUACUGGCAGUCUUGAGUACAGUAGAGGUGGGCGGAAUGCGUGGUGUAGCGGUGAAAUGCUUAGAUAUCACGAAGAACUCCGAUUGCGAAGGCAGUUCACUUGACUGCAACUGACACUGAGGCUCGAAAGUGUGGGUAUCAAACAGGAUUAGAUACCCCAGUAGUC
RNAcentral lists this ribosomal RNA (460 nucleotides) under uncultured bacterium. Its description in RNAcentral is "partial 16S ribosomal RNA". It matches the Rfam family "Bacterial small subunit ribosomal RNA", at positions 338 to 795 of the family's 1533-position model. The record is from RNAcentral.